AGAUAUGCGAUGAAGCGGGAGGUUGCCGCCUUGAGCGGGUAAUUUCCGCAGAGUAUGUCCGAUUUUAAACCGGGCGACAC
[Clostridium] cellulosi is the source of this 80-nucleotide non-coding RNA. Lineage: Bacteria; Bacillati; Bacillota; Clostridia; Eubacteriales; Oscillospiraceae. The record is from Rfam.